UGCGUAGGCGGAUUAAUAAGUCAGUGGUGAAAACCUGCAGCUUAACUGUAGAACUGCCAUUGAUACUGUUAGUCUUGAGUACGGUCAAGGUAGGCGGAAUGUGUAAUGUAGCGGCGAAAUGCUUAGAUAUUACACAGAACACCGAUUGCGAAGGCAGCUUACUGGACCAUUACUGACGCUGAGGCACGAAAGCGUGGGGAGCGAACAGGAUUAGAUACCCUGGUAGUCC
Molecule: ribosomal RNA, 229 nt
Filed under: uncultured bacterium
Lineage: Bacteria
Description: partial 16S ribosomal RNA
Rfam family: Bacterial small subunit ribosomal RNA
Source: RNAcentral